This 517-nucleotide ribosomal RNA is filed under the name uncultured bacterium. RNAcentral's name for it is "bacterial SSU rRNA". It matches the Rfam family "Bacterial small subunit ribosomal RNA", at positions 348 to 858 of the family's 1533-position model. The record is from RNAcentral.
GCAGCAGUGGGGAAUUUUGGACAAUGGGCGCAAGCCUGAUCCAGCAAUGCCGCGUGCAGGAAGAAGGCCUUCGGGUUGUAAACUGCUUUUGUCAGGGAAGAAAUUUUCUGGGCUAAUACCCCGGGAGGAUGACGGUACCUGAAGAAUAAGCACCGGCUAACUACGUGCCAGCAGCCGCGGUAAUACGUAGGGUGCGAGCGUUAAUCGGAAUUACUGGGCGUAAAGCGUGCGCAGGCGGUUAUGUAAGACAGAUGUGAAAUCCCCGGGCUCAACCUGGGAACUGCAUUUGUGACUGCAUGACUGGAGUGCGGCAGAGGGGGAUGGAAUUCCGCGUGUAGCAGUGAAAUGCGUAGAUAUGCGGAGGAACACCGAUGGCGAAGGCAAUCCCCUGGGCCUGCACUGACGCUCAUGCACGAAAGCGUGGGGAGCAAACAGGAUUAGAUACCCUGGUAGUCCACGCCCUAAACGAUGUCAACUGGUUGUUGGACGGCUUGCUGUUCAGUAACGAAGCUAACGC